GUGGGGAAUAUUGCACAAUGGGGGAAACCCUGAUGCAGCGACGCCGCGUGAAGGAAGAAGUAUUUCGGUAUGUAAACUUCUAUCAGCAGGGAAGAAGAUGACGGUACCUGAGUAAGAAGCACCGGCUAAAUACGUGCCAGCAGCCGCGGUAAUACGUAUGGUGCAAGCGUUAUCCGGAUUUACUGGGUGUAAAGGGAGCGUAGACGGAUAGGCAAGUCUGGAGUGAAAACCCAGGGCUCAACCCUGGGACUGCUUUGGAAACUGCAGAUCUGGAGUGCCGGAGAGGUAAGCGGAAUUCCUAGUGUAGCGGUGAAAUGCGUAGAUAUUAGGAGGAACACCAGUGGCGAAGGCGGCUUACUGGACGGUGACUGACGUUGAGGCUCGAAAGCGUGGGGAGCAAACAGG
Molecule: ribosomal RNA, 405 nt
Filed under: uncultured Sellimonas sp.
Lineage: Bacteria; Bacillati; Bacillota; Clostridia; Lachnospirales; Lachnospiraceae
Description: bacterial SSU rRNA
Rfam family: Bacterial small subunit ribosomal RNA
Source: RNAcentral